RNAcentral lists this ribosomal RNA (253 nucleotides) under uncultured bacterium. RNAcentral's name for it is "partial 16S ribosomal RNA". It matches the Rfam family "Bacterial small subunit ribosomal RNA", at positions 524 to 776 of the family's 1533-position model. The record is from RNAcentral.
UACGAAGGGGGCUAGCGUUGUUCGGAAUUACUGGGCGUAAAGCGCACGCAGGCGGAUUGAUUAGUCGGGGGUGAAAUCCCGGGGCUCAACCUCGGAAUUGCCUUCGAUACUGUCAGUCUUGAGUCCGGGAGAGGUGAGUGGAAUUCCUAGUGUAGAGGUGAAAUUCGUAGAUAUUAGGAAGAACACCAGUGGCGAAGGCGGCUCACUGGCCCGGUACUGACGCUCAUGUGCGAAAGCAUGGGGAGCGAACAGG